GAAGAGACAGAAAAAGUUGAGUGCUUUUUACAUGAGUGUUCACCAGCUGUGUGCCAAGUCAAGCUAGAGCCACCCCUGCUGAGACAGGAGAAAUUGCUGUGACAGCUCCCAGAGCCCCCCAGGCUGGCCCCAAAGGCUCACCAGCCUCACCUGGGCUCUGGGAGGAUGAACAUGGACACACAGAGAUCUCCCUCUAUUUCAGUGUCCUUGAAUGAUCUGGAAGCAGUUCUGGCACACAGCCAGCAAGGGGAGUCUGUCAGCACCUUCCCUUCAAAGGCAUUUAAAUCAGUUGAUAGCACGGAGUCAAGGAAGACUCUUGACAGGGAUUUGAAAGAUGCAUCCGUAACAUCUGAGUUCUGCUUGCCAACAAGCACAAAGGUGCCUGCCUCACUCAGAGAAGCCUCUGAAGGAGCACCAACGUUCAAAGCAGCUCUCCAGCACGUGGCACUGGCACCCCACAAAGAGGUAAAGGACAACUAAGUUCAAACAAAUUUUAGGAACCCCUCAUGGUUGUUUUUCAUCCUUCCAGACAUAAAGAAUGUACAAGCUGCAGAUUCACCCCCUUCCCUACUUAGAAAGUCCCCCAGGGGAUUUAGAAGGAGCCUCCAUGGGUCAUACCAAAGAGGUCAAGGUCUCCUCUAGCACCAACUAGGGUCAGUGUCUUCCUGCCAGGUGACAACAGCUCAUGCUCCAACAGUUAAAAUGAGCAGCUUUAGACAGGGCAGAAUCAGAGUGCAUUCCCCGUCUGCUACAGAAAAACCCGAAAUCAGUUUGCAGAGUCAUCUCCCACGACAAAUGACAUUAUUAAAGUGUUUGCUCAGUGCCUGGCAAACACAAACACGGAUCUGCCACUUGGCUGGAAACCCAGUGCCCUCUGCAUCAGAAACCCAGCCAAAAGGAAAACUACCUGCCACACACAUUCCUGAAAUGCAUGGGAGGAAAACCGUGGAUAAUUAUAAUAGGUUUCCAAUUAAAACUCUCUUUGGGGUUGCUAUUAACUGAACACAGAAGCGCCUCCUCCUCCUCCCACUUCUUUCCCUGUUCUGCUUCACCUCCUCUUCUCCACAGGAACUUCCGCUACAUCUUUCAUGUUGCAAUUUUCUCAAAUCUCUCUCAUUUUUCCCCAGCCUUGGCUCAUGCUUAUUGCUGGCAUCAUCUUUGCUCUCUGCCUGCUCCUGUUCUUACCAACACAGCUCACUCAGACUCUCUUUGUCCCCUCAAUCCCCCGUUCCCAAUGGGAGGUGUCCCCACCAUUCCCUUGCACACAGUGGUGAUGGUCUGGGGUCCUGGCACACAGCAGACUGCUGAAAUAACAACACAGGUGAUUUGUGAAAAUCAAGUUCAAGACCAUCCUUCUAGGAAAGAAGUUAUUUUCACUGCUGUUAGAUGCAGAGCCUGGAUCCAGCCAGAGAAAAGGUACUUUUCAGGACCACCAGCAAACACAUCAUUCUGAUGCUCUUACCUCAGGCAUACGAUAUCAGAAUAAAAAACAUCAGCCUUCACACACACCCCCUGUAAACUCAAAUUUUGCCUUGCUUCUGCAGUAGCUGCCAUUAGUGAAUACCAAAGCUGCAAGAUGCCUUCUGUACACAAAGCCAUGAGUCCCUUCCCACGUCACUGCUUCCCUGAGCCUGCCUGUGUAUGCGAACGUUUCCUGAAUUAUUUCCUUUUUUGUGGGGGCAGCAAAGAAGAAUACAAUCCCUUCUCAUUUGCUUCCCCAAAUUGUACAGGAAGAUUGAUCAUUUUGGUUUCCCUGACGUCCCUGGUCUAAAAAACAAAGUUCGACAGCAACACAGCUUGAGCAAUUUUCCCCAUGCUGCAGCUGGGAAUGUCCCUGCUGGGUGACAGGCACUGGGCGAUCCCGGCUGGCUCACAACUGCUACAGGCACCAAAACCUCCAACAAACAACUGCCUGACUUCACUUUUAUUCUGCAAAUGUCAACAGCAGUCAUCAGGGAAAAUAUCCUCCUUCCCACCCUCCUGCAAUGCUCUGGCAGACACGCGACAGCACAUUAAAACUGGAUGACUGAAAUUAGCACUGAUGAGACCUAUGCGGGCAGCCGGGCACAAACACAACCACCCCGAUUUUGCCUGCUAUAAAACAGAGGGCUGGAACCUGGGUCUGUUCACACACGUGAUCAGAAGCAGGUCAGAUGUCCUUGACCUGGGCAGCAGCAUCCUGCAGGUCCUCACCAGUGCUGCUUAAAGCCACCCAGUUGAGUUCCCUGACUCAGGACCACAGAGCUCCCGGCCUCAAGAGCACAGGUGCCGCCCUGCAAGAUGCCAAAGGCCGGGUCUUUGAAAGCUGAACUGUAAAUCCACACCCACAGUUAACUGUUCAAAUCUGUGGCUUCGCUUUCCAACACAAGCAGGACUCAAAAACGCAUCAGUUUUUUAGAGUCUAGUUUGGGAUACACACAUUAUGGAGAUCUUGGCCAAAGUUUUUACCUAGGGAAAUAAUGUGGUUUAUGGCAGCACUUGGAAAAAGCAGAAGUUUGUUCUGCUCAUUAGGUAAGAAGUGCUUCAGGGCACAUGUAAUAAAACAGAAUUUAAAUUUAAUCUAAAUUUCACUUUUCCAAUUACCCUAAGUAAUACAUCAUUGAUGAUUUUUAGGUUUUUUCCUCACCAAGCUGGAGAAAUAGGGCAGUGUAAUUCUGCUGCCUGGCUUCAGUUAGAUGUAGUUAUUUUAUGUACAGAUUUUCAAGCUCAUGAAAGAAGCACGGUACAUUCUGACAACUUCAUUCUUCCCUGAGUGAGUUUGUGACCAAGCCUUUCAAACACAUGAAGUUAAUUCUGAGCCUGGAGGUUCACCACCAGCUGAGAGCUGGCCCCAUAUGAGAGUCACCGAGCUGAGGAGCCCCUUUCUGCUCAGUGGUGCAGAGCCCAGCAGGAGACACAGCUAAUACUGGCCCAAGAGCUGCUUUCACAGCUCUGCUGGAAUUCAGGGGAGGCUCCAAGCCCCCAGAGUUUGUGUGCUGGACUGGGAUGGAGUUUAAGCACUGCUAAUCCACAGAAAAAAAGCAGCAAACCAAGUCUUCUCCCAGAUACCAGAGUUCAUCCAUAUUCUCCUGCUCUCAGUGAAGCGUCACAGCACACACUCACAGACCUGUCAAACAUGACACCUACACUAUCAACCAUGGAACAGUGAUUCAGCACCACAGUGGCAAUUACAAAGCUUAGUAACAAUCACCUCUUCACACAGGCACUUUUUCACCAUUGCUAAAUUAACAUCAAAAAUAUCUGGGUCAGAAUGGACAAGUUCACCCCAUCUCACCUGGCCACCCAUUCCAAAGAGAAUGGCCAGUAAAAAUAGAACAGGACUGGCUAAUAAUUUUUCCAAUGUCCAUAAAUUAUGGUAAAAACUCAAAACAAACCAAAGAAAAUUAGAAAUGAAAGCUGGAGAGGAGAGGGGUCCCUGAGGACAGCAGUGCUCAGCCAAACCUGGGCUGCCAACAAGAACAGCUCCAUGGAGCAGAGCCAAGUGGUUGCCAAUCGACUGCACCUACACACUUGGCCUCCCAGUGACUGCUGGUUCUCAAGAGCAAUGCAGGAACAGAAAUAGAGCACAAGGGAACUGAAAGAGAAACCUCGCUCUAAAUAUUCCCUCUUGUUUCUAUUUUCCUCCCCUUGCUAGCUCCACACCAGGAAUUUUGUUUCCCUAAGGCAGAGAAAGUGGUUUAUAAACACUCUCUGAGGCUCACUGCUAGUUUCUUUCUGACAGGAUCUCUUAUCCCUUCACAAUUCUAAUUUUCUAUUAUGUUAUCACUUGAUCAGUGUUUAUAUUGCACUCCCUGAUGCCCUGGCCCAAAAGGCCUUCAGACUCUUGUCAGGUCAGCAGUGCUGCCCACUUCAUCAUCUGUCUGCUCCUUUGUGUCACACAUACACACCCACAAAGUGAUGAUGGUCCAGUGUAAGUAAUUCCAUAACUCAGCCUGUUUGCACCAAAAUGUACUGUUUACUUGACUUUGAGACAUAAUGUUGGAUUCUGAAAGGUUUGCCUCUUAAUGAAUGAGGUUAUGGAGAUGUUUGUUCAGCACAUGCCACUCUUCAUUAUGACAUACAAGUCAUUAAAGUUAUUAAAGGUGGAGUCACAGUGAUGCUCAUAGUUCAGGUUUUCCAUGAAGAAUCCCUACUUUCAAUUACUUGCAACUGCAACAAACUUCAGCCCUUACAGCUGGAGCUUUCAGUGCCAGGCAGCUGGGCAAGAGCAGCCUCUCCUCUGCCCUUGGAGUCAGGAAACGUGGUCCCAGUGUUUCUCCUGCCUGCUUUGCCUGUGCAAGAGGCUGUUUGUGUUCAAGUACUCAAACCAGGAGGGAAGGAGCCCCACAACGGGCCACAGGACCCCCACACAGUCUGCAAAGAAGCCCUUCCCACUUGGCUCCAUGUAGAUCCCUGCAAGAAUCAGGGUAGCAGGGGAAGCCUCAGCUCUUCCCCUGCCAGGAUGGGUACACAGCUCUCUGCCUAAUUCCAGACAGAGACAAUUUUACAGGUACAUAUGUCCGGUGUUAUUUUGCCAGAAUAAUGAUGAAUGGCAGAUCUGUAAGUCAGUUCACCUGGCUCCCAGCUCACACAAAGAGCCACUGUAACUUCAGCAACAUGGUUCUCAUUCCAUUUGGGAAACUCUCUACAAAAACUGAGAAGAAAACAAACAACUCUGUGCAAAGCUGUAACAUUACUUUAACACGUUUACUGUAGUUCUAAACAACCUAACAUGUUGUGGUAUAUCACAGCAGUGUUUACAUGGAAUGUCCUGCCCCUUGAAACCAAGUGCUUGCAUUAGACCACUCUGUGAGAAAAGUUUGGCUAAGCCCAGUGAUGCAUUUAUCUAUUUAAAGACGCUUUUUAAUUCUGAACUUGCACUGCUGCUCAAGCUUUGAGCAGACUCAGCAGGGGAUUACUGCAUUUUAAGCACUGUUCAAAGCCAAUGGAAGAAAGGCUUCCAAGGAGCUGAUCCCAAGCAAUCUAGCUUGAUUGAACCAAAACCAGCUGUGCAGAACUGCCAGCACCCAGUAGUCCUCUUCUGCUCUCCCAGGAUUUGCUGGUGCUUCUGUAAAUGAUUCUCUCUGCACUUCAUACCAGGCACAGUUUAUACCCCUCAAAUUCCAGUUUUAGUCACCGUAGAUGAAUUACCCAGUUCCAAACAAGACAAGGAAGCAACAUUAAAAAAAAAAAAAGAAAAAUCAUCACUAAUUAUAGCCUGUGCUGCCACCCUUCAUGUCUAAGGGUUUCACAUUUUUUCAGCCUGAUUUUGAAUUUCCCAUCAACAGAUCAUAUGCCUUAACUAGAGCUGGUUCAGAACAGAUGGAGUUUGAACAGAUGAGUUGAAGCUUUUCCUAUGUUUGCAUUUAUUUUAGUGGUCAGUCGUCUCACUGGGUCACCUCGAUAUAGCUGACCCUAACUAUUCCCCCCGCAUACCUUAAAGCAAAACAGAUCCCGCAGCUUAUGUCAGGAGGAUUAUACAUGAGUGCAUUCCAAGGAGCAGCAGUUUAUAGCUCACACGACAUUUCACUGCUGCCCUUGCAGAGGUGGAUGAGCACCAGGAGCUGUUUGGGCAGGAGACAUCCCCAGUGGGCAGCACGACCUGUGCAGAGCCAGCCUGACACAGUGGAGCACGCAGAGACCGGGAUUAGCAGCGCUGGACAUCAGCCAAACCUCGUCUUAUGUAGGCCCCAACAAGGGUAACUUUUACUCAGAUGAACAUUUGUAAGCCAUAAACCUAUUUACUCUAAGGAGCUAAAGGAUUUGAACAAAGAAUUGCACGCCGCUGGCUUCCUCAAAGCUCGGCAGGGCGGGCCUGAUGGAGCCCCACCGAGGGGUUUGGGCUGCACUUCAGGCCAUGUUUACAUUGAGCUUUCACUUUUUUGGGGGGCAUCUCUCAAUAGCUCCAGCAUAUUACAUUACCUCAAGCCAAGAUAGUAACACAGCUUGCAAACAGCAGUUUCUGCAUUGCCAGACACUUAACUAGAUGGUAGAUUUAUACCAUUGUUCGUGUUGGGUUCUUUAAAAAAAGACAUCAGGAAUAUACCUCUAAGUGUGUAUUAAAUAUAGCACAACCCCAAAAAAGAAAAUAGUACUGUGGUCUGCUUUUAAUGAGCAUCACAAAUUCUUUUUGAAGGCUCAGUUGACAUAAAUGGAAUUUAAAAAAAAAA
This is a long non-coding RNA of Motacilla alba alba, 6149 nucleotides long. RefSeq lists it as uncharacterized. The transcript has 2 exons. Lineage: Eukaryota; Metazoa; Chordata; Aves; Passeriformes; Motacillidae. The record is from RefSeq and is a predicted model, not a curated record.